CUCAGAUUGAACGCUGGCGGCAUGCCUUACACAUGCAAGUCGAACGGCAGCGGGGACUUCGGUCCGCCGGCGAGUGGCGAACGGGUGAGUAAAGUAUCGGAACGUACCUUUCAGUGGGGGAUAACGUAGCGAAAGUUACGCUAAUACCGCAUAUUCUGUGAGCAGGAAAGCAGGGGAUCGCAAGACCUUGCGCUGAUUGAGCGGCCGAUAUCAGAUUAGCUAGUUGGUGAGGUAAAGGCUCACCAAGGCGACGAUCUGUAGCGGGUCUGAGAGGAUGAUCCGCCACACUGGAACUGAGACACGGUCCAGACUCCUACGGGAGGCAGCAGUGGGGAAUUUUGGACAAUGGGGGCAACCCUGAUCCAGCCAUGCCGCGUGAGUGAAGAAGGCCUUCGGGUUGUAAAGCUCUUUCGGCCGGGAAGAAAUCGUAUGGGUUAAUACCCUGUGCGGAUGACGGUACCGGCAUAAGAAGCACCGGCUAACUACGUGCCAGCAGCCGCGGUAUACGUAGGGUGCGAGCGUUAAUCGGAAU
This 532-nucleotide ribosomal RNA is filed under the name uncultured bacterium. RNAcentral's name for it is "bacterial SSU rRNA". It matches the Rfam family "Bacterial small subunit ribosomal RNA", at positions 23 to 551 of the family's 1533-position model. The record is from RNAcentral.